GGUUUCGUAGCUCAGUCGGAAGAGCGAGCGGUUGUUAACCGCUGGGUCGCAGGUUCGAUCCCUGCCGGGACCG
RNAcentral lists this transfer RNA (73 nucleotides) under Caudoviricetes sp. RNAcentral describes it as "tRNA-Asn". It matches the Rfam family "tRNA". Rfam says of the family: Transfer RNA (tRNA) molecules are approximately 80 nucleotides in length. Their secondary structure includes four short double-helical elements and three loops (D, anti-codon, and T loops). Further hydrogen bonds mediate the characteristic L-shaped molecular structure. tRNAs have two regions of fundamental functional importance: the anti-codon, which is responsible for specific mRNA codon recognition, and the 3' end, to which the tRNAs corresponding amino acid is attached (by aminoacyl-tRNA synthetases). tRNAs cope with the degeneracy of the genetic code in two manners: having more than one tRNA (with a specific anti-codon) for a particular amino acid; and 'wobble' base-pairing, i.e. permitting non-standard base-pairing at the 3rd anti-codon position. Lineage: Duplodnaviria; Heunggongvirae; Uroviricota; Caudoviricetes. The record is from RNAcentral.